ACAGCAGCCUAAGUGUAGUUAGCUUUAUUCCACAGUAACGGGAUUCCAAGGAAUUUUCAAAACAAUCCUAGCACCUAUGGGGCAUCGUGGUCAUCCAAGCCCUAAGAAGGCUGCUGUCCAUCCAGUCAAGGCUAUCGGAGGGUGUCUGAGGUGUCCUCUCCCUCCUUAUCUGCACCCCUUCCCCUUCCUGCCUUCUCAGCCAGCAGCAGCAUUGCUUCAUUGAGGAAACCUGCACAACACACAAGCAACUAAGAGGCUUCUGGAUUUCAAAAGCCUGAGUUUUGAAGAUCUCAGCCUCCAGCAUUUAUGUCAUAAACAAAAUAUUUGGACCAUUGAUGGAGAGACUUUUACCCUCAGGCUAGAUUAAGAUUCACUAAUCAAGAGAAAGAAAAGAAGCAAAUCGGACCUGAAGAAGGUAGCUGAACCUUGAAGAGGGGAAUAACAGAAACUCAAGGUCAGGUGGAAAAAUCCAAGAGUACUUUACUGAGUUGUGAUGAGGAGACUCAUAGAAGCUUCACAUUUCUCUGACUGGGGCCAACAGGUCCUCCUCCCACACUCUGGACAGCCAGAUUCCUAUUUGGCAUUAAUCUGUGUGUUCCACAGUCCGCUUCUACAGCCUCAGGAAACCUCCCGUCAACACUGGGACCUCGGUAUGGGGCAAAUUUCAGGAGGAAAAGAAUAAAAGGAAUAAAAGUUAAGUCCUCCAGUAUUUUUUGGCAGAAAGGUGAGGAGCAAAGUUCCAAUGACUCAGGAUCAGUGAUAGAAGUUGUUGGUCCAUGGGGAAAAGAAUUGGGCAUCUCCAGCUCUGUGAUCUUUCUUCCAGGCCCUUGACCUGCCACCAGCAUUUUACAUACCCACGCAUACAC
Molecule: long non-coding RNA, 866 nt
Filed under: Homo sapiens (human)
Lineage: Eukaryota; Metazoa; Chordata; Mammalia; Primates; Hominidae
Description: HSALNT0165581
Source: RNAcentral